CAAAGUAUAGUUAAUUAGAAUAACAUUUCACUUACGUUGAAAAGGUUUAUCGUGCAAGUCGAUUUGCUUUGA
This 72-nucleotide transfer RNA is filed under the name Chaceon granulatus. RNAcentral describes it as "tRNA-Val". It matches the Rfam family "tRNA". From Rfam's summary of the family: Transfer RNA (tRNA) molecules are approximately 80 nucleotides in length. Their secondary structure includes four short double-helical elements and three loops (D, anti-codon, and T loops). RNAcentral also lists the same sequence under 1 other name. Lineage: Eukaryota; Metazoa; Arthropoda; Malacostraca; Decapoda; Geryonidae. The record is from RNAcentral.